GACGAACGCUGGCGGCGUGCUUAACACAUGCAAGUCGAGCGGUAAGGCCUUUCGGGUUAUACGAUCGGCUAACGGGCGAGUAACACGUUGGUGAUCUGCCCUGCACUUCGUGAUAAUCCUGUGAAACUGGGUCUAAUACCGGAUAUGACCUCCUAUCGCAUGGUGGGUGGUGGAAAGAUUUAUCGGUGCAGGAUGGGUCCGUUGCCUAUCAGCUUGUUGUUGAUGUAAUGGCAUACCAAGGCGACGACGGGUAGCCGACCUGAGAGGGUGACCGGCCACACUGGGACUGAGGCACGGCCCAGACUGGUAUGUGAGGCAGCAGUGGGGAAUAUUGCACAAUGGGCGAAAGCCUGAUGAAGAGACGCCGCGUGAGGGAAAACGGCCUUCGGGUUGUAAACCUCUUUCAGCAGGGACGAAGCGCAAGUGACGGUACCUUAAGAAGAAGCACCGGCUAACUACGUG
RNAcentral lists this ribosomal RNA (462 nucleotides) under uncultured bacterium. Its description in RNAcentral is "partial 16S ribosomal RNA". It matches the Rfam family "Bacterial small subunit ribosomal RNA", at positions 28 to 507 of the family's 1533-position model. The record is from RNAcentral.